This is a long non-coding RNA of Lepisosteus oculatus (spotted gar), 1729 nucleotides long. Lineage: Eukaryota; Metazoa; Chordata; Actinopteri; Semionotiformes; Lepisosteidae. The record is from Ensembl.
UGGUCUGGACACUCAGGUGAAGUCUCUCUAGGGGGUAAAGGACAAGGGGCUGGACAGACUGUAGGAGGUAAAGGACAGUGGUCUGGACACUCAGGUGAAGUCUCUCUAGGAGGUAAAGGACAAGGGGCUGGACACUCAGGUGAAGUCUCUCUAGGGGGUAAAGGACAGUGGUCUGGACACUCAGGUGAAGUCUCUCUAGGAGGUAAAGGACAAGGGGCUGGACACUCAGGGGAGAAAGGACAGACGGGUCCAGGCAAAGGGAGAGAGACAGGUGGAGUGCGCAGUCCAGGUUGUCAGAAUGACUCCGGUGGGGUGUUUAGUGCCCCACUGACGCCGGUCGCAGGAGGAGUCCCGGAGGUCCCGUCUGGCCCUGCAGGAGGCCUGGAGGGGGAGUGGGAGUCCCAGUACCAGGUUCCCCUGGUGCACACCGUCCAAGUGGUGGACACCGAGGCGGACGCCGCUCAGGUAACAGCCCUGUUCACACUCAUAAUCCAAAACAGAGCGCAGCGAUACAACCGCGGUCUAGCCCAGGAGUACAGAAGAGAUGAAGAUAAUGUUGUACAGUACAAUCCCCUACAGCUCGGCGCGGUAGCCUGUUGUACAAUAUAGUGCUAUGCUACUUGGACACAAGGACAUACUGUGCAGUACGGUCCGGAAAUCUACAGGGCAGGAUAGAUGCACGCGAUACAGAAUGAUGCAACCGUGAGGCGCAGCAUAACGUGGUCCUGAACCACAGUAUCCUGGAGCAGCGUCAUCCCCUCACCUAAACACAUCACGACAAAGUACCAGAGCCACUCCUGCCUGUGUGUAAAUAUCCCGCCUCUUGAGGGAUCCCAUCUCUUCUUCCUUCUGCGGUGGGGGGGUGUAGUGCCCUGUUACUGGGAUAACGGCCAGUCUGCAAGAACAGGGCUGUCAGAAACCCCCCCAACCCUUACAGCUGCCUCCCUCGUUCAUUCCUUGUAACUGGGGGUGGGGUGGGGCUGUAAAACCGCCAAACCUUCGGCCCCGGCUGAAAGGCAACUUCUGAAAAACCUUAGGAAGACCAGCUUAUAUCCCUGUGCGUCUCUUAAUUAAUUCAAAAGUGAAACAAAUGUAUUUUUAAAUGGUUAGAUCUGAGAUUUCUAUACUGUCAAAAGGGUUAACGUAAGCAAUCUCUUCACAGGUCGGUGAAGGCAGUUCAGAAGAGUAUGAGGAAGAAAACAGGACAUUUUCCACUGUCAGUGAAGACGGUACCAUAACCAGAACCACUAUCACAAGAGAAGGGGACACUGUGACUACUACGACAGAGACCACAAAAGAUGGAAAGACGGAAAAAACUGUGAAAAAAUCCAGAGCGAAAAGCCCACACAACUGUGUAUUCAGAAGACACGGGAAAAACAAAGGAAAGGGAGAAUUCCCAAAAGUCACCGAAGAAACAGUGUGGAAAAAGAUGGAGGUCAAUAACGACAGGAGUGUGACAAUCACAACAACAGACAAAAAACAAGGCGUUACUACGAUAACUACUGAAACAGUCAACGGGGCGACGAUCGACACCACACCAAGUACUACAAAGAUAACUUAUGUGGUUAAUGAAGAUGGCACCACCACCACAAUCACCGAGACAAAGAAAGGAGACACUACCACAAUCAUCAUAAAAGUUACAAAGGGGGACACCACUGAAAUAACCACAGAAAUUAAGAAAGGCGAAGAGCCCGUAAAGAAAUUUAAGGAAACAAGAAAGACGUCCACA